UGGGGAAUAUUGCACAAUGGGCGCAAGCCUGAUGCAGCCAUGCCGCGUGUAUGAAGAAGGCCUUCGGGUUGUAAAGUACUUUCAGUCGGGAGGAAGGUGUCAAGGUUAAUAACCUUGGCAAUUGACGUUACCGACAGAAGAAGCACCGGCUAACUCCGUGCCAGCAGCCGCGGUAAUACGGAGGGUGCAAGCGUUAAUCGGAAUUACUGGGCGUAAAGCGCACGCAGGCGGUUGAUUGAGUCAGAUGUGAAAUCCCCGGGCUUAACCCGGGAAUUGCAUCUGAUACUGGUCAGCUAGAGUCUUGUAGAGGGGGGUAGAAUUCCAUGUGUAGCGGUGAAAUGCGUAGAGAUGUGGAGGAAUACCGGUGGCGAAGGCGGCCCCCUGGACAAAGACUGACGCUCAGGUGCUAAAGCGUGGGGAGCAAACAGG
Molecule: ribosomal RNA, 429 nt
Filed under: Chloroflexota bacterium
Lineage: Bacteria; Bacillati; Chloroflexota
Description: Chloroflexi bacterium partial 16S ribosomal RNA
Rfam family: Bacterial small subunit ribosomal RNA
Source: RNAcentral